Molecule: ribosomal RNA, 492 nt
Filed under: uncultured bacterium
Lineage: Bacteria
Description: bacterial SSU rRNA
Rfam family: Bacterial small subunit ribosomal RNA
Source: RNAcentral
CUACGUGCCAGCAGCCGCGGUAAUACGUAGGGUGCGAGCGUUAAUCGGAAUUACUGGGCGUAAAGCGAGCGCAGACGGUUUAUUAAGCAAGAUGUGAAAUCCCCGAGCUUAACUUGGGAACUGCGUUUUGAACUGGUAAGCUAGAGUAUGUCAGAGGGGGGUAGAAUUCCACGUGUAGCAGUGAAAUGCGUAGAGAUGUGGAGGAAUACCGAUGGCGAAGGCAGCCCCCUGGGAUAAUACUGACGUUCAUGCUCGAAAGCGUGGGUAGCAAACAGGAUUAGAUACCCUGGUAGUCCACGCCCUAAACGAUGUCAAUUAGCUGUUGGGGCACUUGAUGCCUUAGUAGCGAAGCUAACGCGUGAAAUCGACCGCCCGGGGAGUACGGCCGCAAGGUUAAAACUCAAAUGAAUUGACGGGGGCCCGCACAAGCGGUGGAGCAUGUGGUUUAAUUCGAUGCAACGCGAAGAACCUUACCUACUCUUGACAUCCAGA